UAUCGAUCGCCAUAUCUAAUGCUCUGUUGGAGCAUUCCUGCCGCCGCCUCCUCCACUUGGGCUGGCCACUGCAUAACACAGGAAGGCUUGUUUAACCUUGCCCUGCAUUUAAGUGAAGUCGGUGCAUUCUUCUUGAUAUCAAAGUUGUGGGCUGACAUGAAGUUGGGCAUGCUUAAAGGCUGAAGAUCGUCACUUCAGUCUUCAUUGUAUCUGUGGUUUUAUAAAGAAUUUGGAUAUUGACAUGGAUAAGGAAGGAGACGAGCAAAAAACAAAAAAGAGAAAAGUGGUAGUUGCAAAUUAUAUGGUAACAGUAGCCACAUUAGUAGUUUGGUGGCAUGAGAAACAUAUAGUAAAGGAGCCUUACUUGGAUUUUAAAGUAGCACGUGAAAUAUAUCUAAGGCAUCUUUA
This is a long non-coding RNA of Coffea eugenioides, 408 nucleotides long. RefSeq lists it as uncharacterized. The transcript is spliced from 3 exons. NCBI's taxonomy places the organism in Eukaryota, Viridiplantae, Streptophyta, Magnoliopsida, Gentianales, Rubiaceae. The record is from RefSeq and is a predicted model, not a curated record.